UAAGAAGGGGGCUAGCGUUGUUCGGAAUCACUGGGCGUAAAGCGCACGCAGGCGGAUCGAUAAGUCGGGGGUGAAAGCCCGGGGCUCAACCUCGGAAUUGCCUUCGAUACUGUCGGUCUCGAGUCCGGGAGAGGUGAGUGGAAUUCCUAGUGUAGAGGUGAAAUUCGUAGAUAUUAGGAAGAAAAACAGUGGCGAAGGCGGCUCACUGGCCCGGUACUGACGCUCAGGUGCGAAAGCGUGGGGAGCAAACAGG
Molecule: ribosomal RNA, 253 nt
Filed under: uncultured bacterium
Lineage: Bacteria
Description: partial 16S ribosomal RNA
Rfam family: Bacterial small subunit ribosomal RNA
Source: RNAcentral